Molecule: ribosomal RNA, 492 nt
Filed under: uncultured bacterium
Lineage: Bacteria
Description: partial 16S ribosomal RNA
Rfam family: Bacterial small subunit ribosomal RNA
Source: RNAcentral
AUUGAACGCUGGCGGCAUGCUUUACACAUGCAAGUCGAACGGUAACAGGCCUUCGGGUGCUGACGAGUGGCGAACGGGUGAGUAAUGCAUCGGAACGUGCCCAGAGGUGGGGGAUAACGCAGCGAAAGCUGUGCUAAUACCGCAUGUGAUCUGAGGAUGAAAGCGGGGGACCAAGCAGCAAUGUUUGGCCUCGCGCCUCUGGAGCGGCCGAUGUCAGAUUAGGUAGUUGGUGGGGUAAAGGCCUACCAAGCCGACGAUCUGUAGCUGGUCUGAGAGGACGACCAGCCACACUGGGACUGAGACACGGCCCAGACUCCUACGGGAGGCAGCAGUGGGGAAUUUUGGACAAUGGGCGCGAGCCUGAUCCAGCAAUGCCGCGUGAGGGAAGAAGGCCUUCGGGUUGUAAACCGCUUUUGUACGGAACGAAAAGGCUCUGGCUAAUACCUGGGGCUGAUGACGGUACCGUAAGAAUAAGCACCGGCUAACUACGUG